CUGUGUGCUGCCAGGGGACACUCCUGGAGGCACGGGGAGGUAGGAUGGCAAAUGAGCCCAGUCACUGAGCACAGGAACUGCUGUUGUAAAGUGAAGGGGGGAGGAACUCAUUCUGCAAAUACAGACUUACACCUGAAUGAUUUCCUGUUCAAGUAUUACUUUUUAGCCAGAAUCCACACAGCUUCAUUACACAAAAUCAGAUGCUGCUUACAAAACAAAGGAAAAGGGAAGCAGUACAUCCUACCUCAUGAGAGAACCUGGACUGACAAUGAACACAGAAGGCCAAAGCAAUUUUAAGUCAGAGUCUGUGCAGGUGUAAUGAUCCAUGACCAGAUGUACAGGCACUGCUCAAGAGACUGCCAACUGCAUCCUACAGCAGGAGGAACAAACCUGGGACACAUCCCUUCACACGUGCAGUUAUGCCAGUAGUCUACAGUCACAGGAAUGGAGUGAGAGGAAGCUGUAGGAGAAGCUGAAUAGUGUGUUGCACCUCCCAAUAAUGUUGGCAAUCUGCAGCAUGGGCACAUCUCUGAACUUCUAAGGAGACAGUGACAUUUGAAAUAUUGAUAAGGACUACUGAUCAGAAAAUUCCUAUUCAUCCUACAUCCUGUUUCACUUUCAGCCACAGGGAAUCUUUUAAGGAACAUGACAGACAGCACAUAAAAAGUUACUCUUGGUUACAGGACACAACAACAAGUAAUACAAUUUAGUGAAAAAUGUAGGGUGGAAAUUUUCAUGCACUUCAUGUAGCUCCUGCUUGAAAUCCAAGAAACCAGAGGACAUCCAGCAGAUCAAAAUACACCUCCUUGGCAGAAAACAGCUGUUAUUUCUGAGGGCAGCUCAGCUGGCAGAGCUGGAAUGAGCUGUAGGCAUACAGCAACCUCUUGUGGCAAAUCCAGCACACACAGAGUAAUGAACAACCUUUGAAACUGCUUAAGCUACUCCUGAUACAAGUCAAAGCUCUGUAAAACUGCGUUAGCAAAUGACUGGAGAGUUGGAGUCUCUGUUACCUGGAGACUCAGCAAUACUCAGACUUCAGAGCUGUAAUAGACCUUCUGUUUGAUUCAAGAUGAAUUAAACAUUGGUAGGCUGUUAUAAAUGAAGUGCCAGACUGAAAUUUCUGUUAAUAAAAUUCUCUAGAAGCUUUUCAUUAGAGUAGAGCAAGCAUGGCGUAACGGCCAGAAGUAGAAUCUGUGGCCAGGUAUGACCAGAAGAAUAAACAUGCUGUUAUGUUGAAUCAUUGUUCUCUGCAUGGUUUUGCUGAAUAAAACUAUGACUGGUUUCAGCAGGGACAUCAAAGUGCCUUUAAUGUUUGCAGGAGCUGAGCAAGACGGAGAACACUUAAGAGUACAGGCCUGGCUCAAUAGUGUGUUCUGCAGAGUGCUGGCAGAGCAGCAGCCCUUCAGCUGACAGGGAGGAGGACAAGAAAGUGUCAGACAGUGCUACAGGCCUGAAGGGGAAAAAAAGGCAUCCCAGUAUCUGCACAGAAUCCAGGACACCUACCUCUUCAAAAGGUGUAACUCACUAGUUGUCCAAAAGCAUGAAGUGUAUGUUCCUCCAACCACCUGAGCAGCUGCAAAUGCCUGUCCUGCACAGGCUGAGGAGGGGAGAGCAGGGAGAAGGUGCUGGAAGGGAACAGGAAGAAU
This is a long non-coding RNA of Neopelma chrysocephalum (saffron-crested tyrant-manakin), 1646 nucleotides long. RefSeq lists it as uncharacterized. The record is from RefSeq and is a predicted model, not a curated record. Lineage: Eukaryota; Metazoa; Chordata; Aves; Passeriformes; Pipridae. The transcript is spliced from 3 exons.